AACGCACAUUGCGCCCCUUGGUAUUCCGAGGGGCAUGCCUGUUCGAGCGUCAUUAUGACCACUCAAGCCUCGGCUUGGUAUUGGGGUUCGCGAUCUUCGCGGCUCUUAAAAUCAGUGGCGGUGCCAUCUGGCUCUCAGCGUAGUAGUAUAUCUCGCUAUUGGGUCCGGUGGUUGCUUGCCAACAACCCCCAACUUCUCACGGUUGACCUCGGAUCAGGUAGGGAUACCCGCUGAACUUAA
RNAcentral lists this unclassified non-coding RNA (240 nucleotides) under uncultured fungus. RNAcentral describes it as "sequence contains ITS2". The stretch from base 1 to 52 matches the Rfam family "5.8S ribosomal RNA", at positions 103 to 154 of the family's 154-position model. The record is from RNAcentral. Lineage: Eukaryota; Fungi.